This 73-nucleotide transfer RNA is filed under the name Streptococcus suis. RNAcentral's name for it is "tRNA-Asp". It matches the Rfam family "tRNA". Rfam says of the family: Transfer RNA (tRNA) molecules are approximately 80 nucleotides in length. Their secondary structure includes four short double-helical elements and three loops (D, anti-codon, and T loops). The record is from RNAcentral. RNAcentral also lists the same sequence under 9 other names. Lineage: Bacteria; Bacillati; Bacillota; Bacilli; Lactobacillales; Streptococcaceae.
GGUCCCGUAGUGUAGCGGUUAUCACGUCGCCCUGUCACGGCGAAGAUCGCGGGUUCGAAUCCCGUCGGGACCG